This 226-nucleotide long non-coding RNA is filed under the name Pongo abelii (Sumatran orangutan). RNAcentral describes it as "lincRNA". Lineage: Eukaryota; Metazoa; Chordata; Mammalia; Primates; Hominidae. The record is from RNAcentral.
AAUGUCUCUCUGGCUUCCUCUCCCUCUCAGAGACCCAAAUUGGAACUGAAACCCUGAGUACAGCAAAACUGCAUUUCCCAAGCUCCUCGUCUCUCAAUGGGUCACAUGACUUGUUCUAGCCAAUAGAACAAGGGUGGAAGUAAUGCAACCACUUUCAGCUGGCCCCUAAAGUCUCCUGUGAGAUCUUCCAAUCUUGCUCUCCUCUCUCUGCAUGGCUGGAAGUGCA